Molecule: transfer RNA, 67 nt
Filed under: Acropyga donisthorpei
Lineage: Eukaryota; Metazoa; Arthropoda; Insecta; Hymenoptera; Formicidae
Description: tRNA-Asp
Source: RNAcentral
AAAGAAUUAGUCUAAUCAAAAUACAUUAAAUUGUCAAUUUAAAAAUAUUUCUUUGAAAUAUUCUUUU